Molecule: unclassified non-coding RNA, 494 nt
Filed under: Xanthomonas sp. GP31
Lineage: Bacteria; Pseudomonadati; Pseudomonadota; Gammaproteobacteria; Lysobacterales; Lysobacteraceae
Description: partial 16S-23S ribosomal RNA intergenic spacer
Rfam family: tRNA (bases 209-282)
Source: RNAcentral
GGAUCACCUCCUUUUGAGCAAAGACAACAUCGUCCUGUCGGGCGUCUUCACAAAGUACCUGCAUUCAGAGAAUCGCAUCGGCCAGGCCGGUGUGAGUGUCCCUUUUGGGGCCUUAGCUCAGCUGGGAGAGCACCUGCUUUGCAAGCAGGGGGUCGUCGGUUCGAUCCCGACAGGCUCCACCAUCUGAGCUGUUCCGGAAGAGUCUUCCGGGUCUGUAGCUCAGGUGGUUAGAGCGCACCCCUGAUAAGGGUGAGGUCGGUAGUUCGAGUCUACCCAGACCCACCAUUCUCUGAAUGACGCAUACAAUCGAUCUUUAUACGCAUCGGCACUGUGGCCGGUACGUGUUCUUUUAAAACUUGUGACGUAGCGAGCGUUUGAGAUACAUCUAUCAGACGUGUCGUGAGGCUAAGGCGGGAAUCGGAAGAUUCCUUAUUAAUUGAGUCGUUAUAUUCGUAUCCGGGCUUUGUACCCCCGGGUCAAAUAUAUAACCCGAG